UACGCUCUCUAUGAGCUAAGAUCAAGCGUAGUACCUGUUCUUAUCAGUUUAAUAUCUGAUAUGUCCUUUAUUUAAGGACUGUAUAUUAAACCAGUAUUUCUGUGAGGGUAUUUAAAAGGACAUUUAAGGAACAUUAACAGUUU
RNAcentral lists this small nuclear RNA (143 nucleotides) under Chrysemys picta bellii (western painted turtle). RNAcentral describes it as "U2 spliceosomal RNA (ENSCPBG00000021297.1)". The stretch from base 1 to 126 matches the Rfam family "U2 spliceosomal RNA". From Rfam's summary of the family: U2 is a small nuclear RNA (snRNA) component of the spliceosome (involved in pre-mRNA splicing). Complementary binding between U2 snRNA (in an area lying towards the 5' end but 3' to hairpin I) and the branchpoint sequence (BPS) of the intron results the bulging out of an unpaired adenosine, on the BPS, which initiates a nucleophilic attack at the intronic 5' splice site, thus starting the first of two transesterification reactions that mediate splicing. Lineage: Eukaryota; Metazoa; Chordata; Testudines; Emydidae. The record is from RNAcentral.